This 468-nucleotide ribosomal RNA is filed under the name uncultured bacterium. RNAcentral describes it as "partial 16S ribosomal RNA". It matches the Rfam family "Bacterial small subunit ribosomal RNA", at positions 28 to 507 of the family's 1533-position model. The record is from RNAcentral.
GACGAACGCUGGCGGCGUGCUUAACACAUGCAAGUCGAACGGAAAGGCCCUGCUUUUGUGGGGUGCUCGAGUGGCGAACGGGUGAGUAACACGUGAGUAACCUGCCCUUGACUUUGGGAUAACUUCAGGAAACUGGGGCUAAUACCGGAUAGGAGCUCCUGCUGCAUGGUGGGGGUUGGAAAGUUUCGGCGGUUGGGGAUGGACUCGCGGCUUAUCAGCUUGUUGGUGGGGUAGUGGCUUACCAAGGCUUUGACGGGUAGCCGGCCUGAGAGGUGGACCGGCGACAUUGGGACUGAGAUACGGCCCAGACUCCUACGGGCGGCAGCAGUGGGGAAUAUUGCACAAUGGGCGGAAGCCUGAUGCAGCAACGCCGCGUGCGGGAUGACGGCCUUCGGGUUGUAAACCGAUUUCGCCUGUGACGAAGCGUGAGUGACGGUAAUGGGUAAAGAAGCACCGGCUAACUACGUG